Bos taurus (domestic cattle) is the source of this 774-nucleotide long non-coding RNA. The record is from Ensembl. NCBI's taxonomy places the organism in Eukaryota, Metazoa, Chordata, Mammalia, Artiodactyla, Bovidae.
CAGUGUGCCAGAUGGAAACUGCCAAAGAAAAUUGUCUUUGAGCUUGCAUGAUAUGAAUGUCUCACUGCUUCCCCUCGUUACUCAGCAGCAUCAGAUUGUGUUUUCUUUGUGGUUGAGAGAUGGUCAACAUCCGCUUGAGAAGGUGCGCCGGUUGUACACCCAGAAAACUGAGCUGCAGAGACAGGGGAGGUGAUAAGUCGCAGCGACCGUGCUCACCAAACACCUCAUCACCUGAGCUGCUCGGACCUGGGAAGGGCACAAAACGCAGGCCCAACCGAGUCUGCGCCUCUGAGGACUACUCGAGUGCCUGAACCUGAGCGGCUUAGACCUGGGAGGUACAUGCAGCCCAGGGCAGGCCUCAGGCGGUUCCCAGUGGAGGAACCUAGGGCCUGAGCAGUGUGGGUAGGGAGGGUACACGCGCCAUGAACGGGGGCAGGCCCAGUGUGGCUGAGGCACUGCGAACACACACCAGUGUUAUUUGUUUGCAGCGUCCCUCCCUCCCCACAGUGCGACUGAACAAGUUAGCCUAAAAAAAGUGUCCACCACCGCCCCCUUUGUGUCAGGGUGGAAAUCAGACACUGAAGAGACCAGCAAACAGAAGAAGCUAAAACAGAGGGAACCGCCUUGGAAGUGACAGGUGCAAUAGAUUAAAACCCUGUCGUUAGUACUGACUACAUGGGAAGGGGCCUAUAGAUCUUGAGAAAUAUAAGCCAGACCAAGGAACUAUCUGAAAAUGAACUGACCCUACGAUACCCACAACAACACCAGAGAAAG